RNAcentral lists this ribosomal RNA (393 nucleotides) under Triticum aestivum (bread wheat). RNAcentral's name for it is "partial small subunit ribosomal RNA". Lineage: Eukaryota; Viridiplantae; Streptophyta; Magnoliopsida; Poales; Poaceae. The record is from RNAcentral.
AUGGGAGGAGGCAAAAAGGGUCUGGAGAGUGCGAUCGUGUGCCUACUCGUGCUGGGGCUGGUCCUGGAGCAGGUGCAAGUAGAGGGCGUGGACUGCGGCGCAAACCCCUUCAAAGUGGCCUGCUUCAAUUCUUGCCUUCUCGGUCCUAGUACAGUGUUCCAGUGCGCAGACUUCUGUGCUUGUCGACUCCCCGCGGGCUUGGCCUCUCUACGCAGCUCCGAUGAACCAAACGCCAUUGAGUAUUGCAGCUUGGGAUGCAGGUCUUCUGUGUGUGACAACGUGAUCAGCACAGCUGACAACACUGAAGAGAUGAAGCUCUAUGUGAAACGCUGCGGUGAUGCUUGUGACAGUUUCUGUAAGGGGGAUACUCUCUUGGCAUCCCUUGAUGACUAA